This 353-nucleotide ribosomal RNA is filed under the name uncultured bacterium. RNAcentral describes it as "bacterial SSU rRNA". It matches the Rfam family "Bacterial small subunit ribosomal RNA", at positions 917 to 1271 of the family's 1533-position model. The record is from RNAcentral.
GGGCCCGCACAAGCGGUGGAGCAUGUGGUUUAAUUCGAUGAUACGCGAGGAACCUUACCAGGGCUUAAAUGUAGUAUGACCGGUCUAGAAAUAGACCUUCUCUUCGGAGCAGAUUACAAGGUGCUGCAUGGUUGUCGUCAGCUCGUGCCGUGAGGUGUUAGGUUAAGUCCUGCAACGAGCGCAACCCCUAUUCUUAGUUGCCAGCGGUUCGGCCGGGGACUCUAAGAAGACUGCCAGCGCAAGCUGAGAGGAAGGUGGGGAUGACGUCAAGUCCUCAUGGCCCUUACAGGCUGGGCUACACACGUGCUACAAUGGCGAUGACAGUGGGCAGCGACCCCGCAAGGGUGAGCUAA